RNAcentral lists this transfer RNA (66 nucleotides) under Halocaridina rubra (Hawaiian volcano shrimp). RNAcentral describes it as "tRNA-Arg". The record is from RNAcentral. Lineage: Eukaryota; Metazoa; Arthropoda; Malacostraca; Decapoda; Atyidae.
AAUUGGAAAGCGAAAAAUCGCAUUUAGUUUCGGCCUAAACUUUGGUAUUCCCCUUACCUCCAAUUU